RNAcentral lists this ribosomal RNA (238 nucleotides) under uncultured bacterium. RNAcentral describes it as "partial 16S ribosomal RNA". It matches the Rfam family "Bacterial small subunit ribosomal RNA", at positions 333 to 563 of the family's 1533-position model. The record is from RNAcentral.
GGUUACCUACGGGACGCAGCAGUAGGGAAUCUUCCACAAUGGGCGAAAGCCUGAUGGAGCAACGCCGCGUGGGUGAAGAAGGUCUUCGGAUCGUAAAACCCUGUUGUUAGAGAAGAAAGUGCGUGAGAGUAACUGUUCACGUUUCGACGGUAUCUAACCAGAAAGCCACGGCUAACUACGUGCCAGCAGCCGCGGUAAUACGUAGGUGGCAAGCGUUAUCCGGAUUUAAUGGGCGUAA